This 301-nucleotide ribosomal RNA is filed under the name uncultured bacterium. Its description in RNAcentral is "partial 16S ribosomal RNA". It matches the Rfam family "Bacterial small subunit ribosomal RNA", at positions 509 to 807 of the family's 1533-position model. The record is from RNAcentral.
CAGUCGCCGCGGUAAUACGAAGGGUGCAAGCGUUAAUCGGAAUUACUGGGCGUAAAGCGUGCGUAGGCGGUGAGUUAAGUCUGCUGUGAAAUCCCCGGGCUCAACCUGGGAAUGGCAGUGGAUACUGGCUCGCUAGAGUGUGUCAGAGGAUGGUGGAAUUCCCGGUGUAGCGGUGAAAUGCGCAGAGAUCGGGAGGAACAUCAGUGGCGAAGGCGGCCAUCUGGGACAACACUGACGCUGAGGCACGAAAGCGUGGGGAGCAAACAGGAUUAGAUACCCCUGUAGUCCCUGUCUCUUAUAC